AAAAUAGGAGGCAGUCAAGAUAGCCAAGGACCCUGCCUAUGAACCAUCACAAUUCACAAACAAGCUAAGACUCCUCAUUUUCAUGUAAAUAACAUUUUGAAGGGAUGUAGGCAAGUCAUCCUUGGCUAUUAAACAAGACUCCUGUCU
Molecule: microRNA precursor, 147 nt
Filed under: Thalictrum thalictroides
Lineage: Eukaryota; Viridiplantae; Streptophyta; Magnoliopsida; Ranunculales; Ranunculaceae
Source: RNAcentral